AAACAGGAUUAGAUACCCUGGUAGUCCACGCUGUAAACGAUGUCGAUUUGGAGUUUGUUGCCUAGAGUGAUGGGCUCCGAAGCUAACGCGAUAAAUCGACCGCCUGGGGAGUACGGCCGCAAGGUUAAAACUCAAAUGAAUUGACGGGGGCCCGCACAAGCGGUGGAGCAUGUGGUUUAAUUCGAUGCAACGCGAAGAACCUUACCUGGUCUUGACAUCCAUAGAAUUCUGCAGAGAUGUGGGAGUGCCUUCGGGAACUAUGAGACAGGUGCUGCAUGGCUGUCGUCAGCUCGUGUUGUGAAAUGUUGGGCUAAGUCCCGCAACGAGCGCAACCCUUAUUCUUUGUUGCCAGCGAUUUGGUCGGGAACUCAAAGGAGACUGCCGUUGAUAAAGCGGAGGAAGGUGGGGACGACGUCAAGUCAUCAUGGCCCUUACGACCAGGGCUACACACGUGCUACAAUGGCGUAUACAAAGGGAAGCGAAGGUGCGAGCUGGAGCGGAUCUCAUAAAGUACGUCUAAGUUCGGAUUGGAGUCUGCAACUCGACUCCAUGAAGUCGGAAUCGCUAGUAAUCGUAGAUCAGAAUGCUACGGUGAAUACGUUCCCGGGCCUUGUACACACCGCCCGUCACACCAUGGGAGUGGGUUGCACCAGAAGUAGAUAGCUUAACCGCGAGGGGGGCGUUUACCACGGUGUGAUUCAUGACUGGGGUGAAGUCGUAACAAGGUAACCA
RNAcentral lists this ribosomal RNA (732 nucleotides) under uncultured Enterobacteriaceae bacterium. RNAcentral's name for it is "bacterial SSU rRNA". It matches the Rfam family "Bacterial small subunit ribosomal RNA", at positions 770 to 1502 of the family's 1533-position model. The record is from RNAcentral. Lineage: Bacteria; Pseudomonadati; Pseudomonadota; Gammaproteobacteria; Enterobacterales; Enterobacteriaceae.